RNAcentral lists this ribosomal RNA (388 nucleotides) under uncultured bacterium. RNAcentral describes it as "bacterial SSU rRNA". It matches the Rfam family "Bacterial small subunit ribosomal RNA", at positions 30 to 415 of the family's 1533-position model. The record is from RNAcentral.
AUUGAACGCUGGCGGCAGGCCUAACACAUGCAAGUCGAGCGGUAGAGAGGUGCUUGCAUCUCUUGAGAGCGACGGACGGGUGAGUAAUGCCUAGGAAUCUGCCUGGUGGUGGGGGAUAACGUUCGGAAACGGACGCUAAUACCGCAUACGUCCUACGGGAGAAAGCGGGGGAUCUUCGGACCUCGCGCCAUUAGAUGAGCCUAGGUCGGAUUAGCUAGUUGGUGAGGUAAUGGCUCACCAAGGCGACGAUCCGUAACUGGUCUGAGAGGAUGAUCAGUCACACUGGAACUGAGACACGGUCCAGACUCCUACGGGAGGCAGCAGUGGGGGAAUAUUGGACAAUGGGCGAAAGACCUGAUCCAGCCAUGCCGCCGUGUGUGAAGAAGGU